GAUGAACGCUGGCGGCGUGCCUAAUACAUGCAAGUCGAGCGAACAGACGAGGAGCUUGCUCCUCUGACGUUAGCGGCGGACGGGUGAGUAACACGUGGAUAACCUACCUAUAAGACUGGGAUAACUUCGGGAAACCGGAGCUAAUACCGGAUAAUAUAUUGAACCGCAUGGUUCAAUAGUGAAAGACGGUUUUGCUGUCACUUAUAGAUGGAUCCGCGCCGCAUUAGCUAGUUGGUAAGGUAACGGCUUACCAAGGCGACGAUGCGUAGCCGACCUGAGAGGGUGAUCGGCCACGCGGGAACUGAGACACGGUCCAGACUCCUACGGGAGGCAGCAGUAGGGAAUCUUCCGCAAUGGGCGAAAGCCUGACGGAGCAACGCCGCGUGAGUGAUGAAGGUCUUCGGAUCGUAAAACUCUGUUAUUAGGGAAGAACAAAUGUGUAAGUAACUAUGCACGUCUUGACGGUACCUAAUCAGAAAGCCACGGCUAACUACGUG
RNAcentral lists this ribosomal RNA (497 nucleotides) under uncultured bacterium. RNAcentral describes it as "partial 16S ribosomal RNA". It matches the Rfam family "Bacterial small subunit ribosomal RNA", at positions 28 to 507 of the family's 1533-position model. The record is from RNAcentral.